Molecule: ribosomal RNA, 519 nt
Filed under: uncultured bacterium
Lineage: Bacteria
Description: partial 16S ribosomal RNA
Rfam family: Bacterial small subunit ribosomal RNA
Source: RNAcentral
GACGAACGCUGGCGGCGUGCCUAAUACAUGCAAGUCGAGCGAGUCUGCCUUGAAGAUCGGAGUGCUUGCACUCUGUGAAACAAGAUACAGGCUAGCGGCGGACGGGUGAGUAACACGUGGGUAACCUGCCCAAGAGAUCGGGAUAACACCUGGAAACAGAUGCUAAUACCGGAUAACAACAGAUGAUGCCUAUCAACUGUUUAAAAGAUGGUUCUGCUAUCACUCUUGGAUGGACCUGCGGUGCAUUAGCUAGUUGGUAGGGUAACGGCCUACCAAGGCGAUGAUGCAUAGCCGAGUUGAGAGACUGAUCGGCCACAUUGGGACUGAGACAAGGCCCAAACUCCUACGGGAGGCAGCAGUAGGGAAUCUUCCACAAUGGACGCAAGUCUGAUGGAGCAACGCCGCGUGAGUGAAGAAGGGUUUCGGCUCGUAAAGCUCUGUUGUUGGUGAAGAAGGACAGGGGUAGUAACUGACCUUUGUUUGACGGUAAUCAAUUAGAAAGUCACGGCUAACUACGUG